RNAcentral lists this non-coding RNA (29 nucleotides) under Cricetulus griseus (Chinese hamster). The record is from RNAcentral. Lineage: Eukaryota; Metazoa; Chordata; Mammalia; Rodentia; Cricetidae.
CUGGGACACAUGCAGACAGAAUACUUUAU